GCAAACUGUGAAAUCAUGGCCUAUCGAUCCUUCAGGUCUA
This 40-nucleotide ribosomal RNA is filed under the name Polarella glacialis. Its description in RNAcentral is "partial Eukaryotic large subunit ribosomal RNA". The record is from RNAcentral. Lineage: Eukaryota; Dinophyceae; Suessiales; Suessiaceae.